This is a long non-coding RNA of Rosa rugosa (rugosa rose), 581 nucleotides long. RefSeq lists it as uncharacterized. Lineage: Eukaryota; Viridiplantae; Streptophyta; Magnoliopsida; Rosales; Rosaceae. The transcript has 3 exons. The record is from RefSeq and is a predicted model, not a curated record.
AGAUGGGAUCAGCUUGAUGCAUGAAUAUGAGGAUCAAAAGUUUGGGGUAGAUGAGCAAAAGCUUGGAAUUAGCACGGAAUUGGCAUGAAUUUGAGUUAAGAGUAGGAGCAUCAAUAAUUGAAAACUGGAAAACAAAGCUCCAUUCCGCCAGUAAAUUCCAGCAGCUCAGCCCCCAGAUUGGAUCGGUAUUCCAUUGAAGAUGAAAUGUCAACUUCAUUAGUUGAUACAAGUUACAGCAGCAACUAUCCAGCCCAGGCAUAUUGACAUGAAUGGGGGUUUAUCACGGCAUCUCAGCAUGAUUGGAUGUUCUCUCCGUUUGACACCGAGAGGACUCUGCUUGUCUUUUGUGUAUAGUUUAAAUAGAAGUUUUGCUUCUUAAUCAAAGUCACAGCUUCUGAACAUUGUGAAUUUGAUAGGGAGGUUGCAAUUGGAAGAUGGAGUUUGCACGAGUCACAACCUAGUUCCAUAAGAGGAACAUGAAAAGAUGUAAUUAAUUUUUUUUAAUACCCAAAUCUUGGCUCUUUGGAGAAAAUAAACCACUCUUGUACUAAUAUAUUUUUCUGAUGUAUACCAAAGGUUCA